RNAcentral lists this ribosomal RNA (253 nucleotides) under uncultured bacterium. RNAcentral describes it as "partial 16S ribosomal RNA". It matches the Rfam family "Bacterial small subunit ribosomal RNA", at positions 524 to 776 of the family's 1533-position model. The record is from RNAcentral.
UACGUAGGGGGCAAGCGUUGUCCGGAAUCAUUGGGCGUAAAGAGCGUGUAGGCGGCUCGGUAAGUCCGCUCUGAAAGCCCGGGGCUCAACCCCGGGAGGCGGGCGGAUACUGUCGGGCUAGAGUCCGGAAGAGGCGAGUGGAAUUCCUGGUGUAGCGGUGAAAUGCGCAGAUAUCAGGAGGAACACCAAUGGCGAAGGCAGCUCGCUGGGGAUGUACUGACGCUGAGACACGAAAGCCAGGGGAGCAAACGGG